Megalobrama amblycephala (Wuchang bream) is the source of this 153-nucleotide long non-coding RNA. RefSeq lists it as uncharacterized. The record is from RefSeq and is a predicted model, not a curated record. The transcript has 2 exons. NCBI's taxonomy places the organism in Eukaryota, Metazoa, Chordata, Actinopteri, Cypriniformes, Xenocyprididae.
GUGGAUGCUAAUAUAAUUAUCGUUAUAGUUAUCGUGCGUUGGUGUGGAUGCUAAUAUAGUUAUCGUCAUUGGUGUGGAUGCUAAUAUAGUUAUCGUUGUUGGUGUGGACGCUAAUAUAGUUAUCCUUAUAGUUAUCGUUGUAGGUGUGAAUGC